Molecule: ribosomal RNA, 400 nt
Filed under: uncultured bacterium
Lineage: Bacteria
Description: bacterial SSU rRNA
Rfam family: Bacterial small subunit ribosomal RNA
Source: RNAcentral
GAAUCUUGCACAAUGGGCGAAAGCCCGAUGCAGCCAUGCCGCGUGAAUGAUGAAGGCCUUAGGGUUGUAAAAUUCUUUCGUCAGGGAUGAUAAUGACCGUACCUGAACAAGAAGCCCCGGCUCACGUUGUGCUAGCUGCCGCGGUAAUACGAAGGGGGCUAGCGUUGUUCGGAAUUACUGGGCGUAAAGCGCACGUAGGCGGACUUUUAAGUCAGGUGUGAAAUCCCGGGGCUCAACCUCGGAACUGCAUUUGAAACUGGAAGUCUUGAGACCAGGAGAGGUUAGCGGAAUACCGAGUGUAGAGGUGAAAUUCGUAGAUAUUCGGUGGAACACCAGUGGCGAAGGCGGCUAACUGGACUGGUACUGACGCUGAGGUGCGAAAGUGUGGGGAGCAAACAGG